GACGAACGCUGGCGGCGUGCCUAAUACAUGCAAGUCGAGCGCAGGAAAUCAUCCGAACCUUUCGGGGGGACGUUGAUGGAAUGAGCGGCGGACGGGUGAGUAACACGUAAAGAACCUGCCCUCAGGUCUGGGAUAACCACGAGAAAUCGGGGCUAAUACCGGAUGGGUCAUCGGACCGCAUGGUCCGAGGAUGAAAGGCGCUUCGGCGUCGCCUGGGGAUGGCUUUGCGGUGCAUUAGCUAGUUGGUGGGGUAAUGGCCCACCAAGGCGACGAUGCCUAGCCGACCUGAGAGGGUGAUCGGCCACACCGGGACUGAGACACGGCCCAGACUCCUACGGGAGGCAGCAGUAGGGAAUCUUCCACAAUGGACGAAAGUCUGAUGGAGCAACGCCGCGUGAACGAUGAAGGCCUUCGGGUCGUAAAGUUCUGUUGUAAGGGAAGAACAAGUGCCGCAGGCAAUGGCGGCACCUUGACGGUACCUUGCGAGAAAGCCACGGCUAACUACGUGCCAGCAGCCGCGGUAA
Molecule: ribosomal RNA, 524 nt
Filed under: uncultured bacterium
Lineage: Bacteria
Description: partial 16S ribosomal RNA
Rfam family: Bacterial small subunit ribosomal RNA
Source: RNAcentral